UUGAAGAGUUUGAUCAUGGCUCAGAUUGAACGCUGGCGGCAGGCCUAACACAUGCAAGUCGAACGGUAACAGGAAGAAGCUUGCUUCUUUGCUGACGAGUGGCGGACGGGUGAGUAAUGUCUGGGAAACUGCCUGAUGGAGGGGGAUAACUACUGGAAACGGUAGCUAAUACCGCAUAACGUCGCAAGACCAAAGAGGGGGACCUUCGGGCCUCUUGCCAUCGGAUGUGCCCAGAUGGGAUUAGCUUGUUGGUGGGGUAACGGCUCACCAAGGCGACGAUCCCUAGCUGGUCUGAGAGGAUGACCAGCCACACUGGAACUGAGACACGGUCCAGACUCCUACGGGAGGCAGCAGUGGGGAAUAUUGCACAAUGGGCGCAAGCCUGAUGCAGCCAUGCCGCGUGUAUGAAGAAGACCUUCGGGUUGUAAAGUACUUUCAGCGGGGAGGAAGGGAGUAAAGUUAAUACCUUUGCUCAUUGACGUUACCCGCAGAAGAAGCACCGGCUAACUCCGUGCCAGCAGCCGCGGUAAUACGGAGGGUGCAAGCGUUAAUCGGAAUUACUGGGCGUAAAGCGCACGCAGGCGGUUUGUUAAGUCAGAUGUGAAAUCCCCGGGCUCAACCUGGGAACUGCAUCUGAUACUGGCAAGCUUGAGUCUCGUAGAGGGGGGUAGAAUUCCAGGUGUAGCGGUGAAAUGCGUAGAGAUCUGGAGGAAUACCGGUGGCGAAGGCGGCCCCCUGGACGAAGACUGACGCUCAGGUGCGAAAGCGUGGGGAGCAAACAGGAUUAGAUACCCUGGUAGUCCACGCCGUAAACGAUGUCGACUUGGAGGUUGUGCCCUUGAGGCGUGGCUUCCGGAGCUAACGCGUUAAGUCGACCGCCUGGGGAGUACGGCCGCAAGGUUAAAACUCAAAUGAAUUGACGGGGGCCCGCACAAGCGGUGGAGCAUGUGGUUUAAUUCGAUGCAACGCGAAGAACCUUACCUGGUCUUGACAUCCACGGAAGUUUUCAGAGAUGAGAAUGUGCCUUCGGGAACCGUGAGACAGGUGCUGCAUGGCUGUCGUCAGCUCGUGUUGUGAAAUGUUGGGUUAAGUCCCGCAACGAGCGCAACCCUUAUCCUUUGUUGCCAGCGGUCCGGCCGGGAACUCAAAGGAGACUGCCAGUGAUAAACUGGAGGAAGGUGGGGAUGACGUCAAGUCAUCAUGGCCCUUACGACCAGGGCUACACACGUGCUACAAUGGCGCAUACAAAGAGAAGCGACCUCGCGAGAGCAAGCGGACCUCAUAAAGUGCGUCGUAGUCCGGAUUGGAGUCUGCAACUCGACUCCAUGAAGUCGGAAUCGCUAGUAAUCGUGGAUCAGAAUGCCACGGUGAAUACGUUCCCGGGCCUUGUACACACCGCCCGUCACACCAUGGGAGUGGGUUGCAAAAGAAGUAGGUAGCUUAACCUUCGGGAGGGCGCUUACCACUUUGUGAUUCAUGACUGGGGUGAAGUCGUAACAAGGUAACCGUAGGGGAACCUGCGGUUGGAUCACCUCCUU
Molecule: ribosomal RNA, 1538 nt
Filed under: Escherichia coli
Lineage: Bacteria; Pseudomonadati; Pseudomonadota; Gammaproteobacteria; Enterobacterales; Enterobacteriaceae
Description: bacterial SSU rRNA
Rfam family: Bacterial small subunit ribosomal RNA
Source: RNAcentral